AGUAAAUUCUAUAACCGAAAGAA
RNAcentral lists this small nuclear RNA (23 nucleotides) under Arabidopsis thaliana (thale cress). Its description in RNAcentral is "snRNA_09608". The record is from RNAcentral. Lineage: Eukaryota; Viridiplantae; Streptophyta; Magnoliopsida; Brassicales; Brassicaceae.